This 301-nucleotide ribosomal RNA is filed under the name uncultured bacterium. Its description in RNAcentral is "partial 16S ribosomal RNA". It matches the Rfam family "Bacterial small subunit ribosomal RNA", at positions 509 to 807 of the family's 1533-position model. The record is from RNAcentral.
CAGUCGCCGCGGUAAUACGUAGGGUGCAAGCGUUAAUCGGAAUUACUGGGCGUAAAGCGUGCGCAGGCGGUUUGUUAAGACAGAUGUGAAAUCCCCGGGCUCAACCUGGGAACUGCAUUUGUGACUGGCAGGCUAGAGUAUGGCAGAGGGGGGUGGAAUUCCGCGUGUAGCAGUGAAAUGCGUAGAUGUGCGGAGGAACACCGAUGGCGAAGGCAGCCCCCUGGGCCAAUACUGACGCUCACGCACGAAAGCGUGGGGAGCAAACAGGAUUAGAUACCCCGGUAGUCCCUGUCUCUUAUAC